This is a long non-coding RNA of Erigeron canadensis, 646 nucleotides long. RefSeq lists it as uncharacterized. The transcript is spliced from 2 exons. The record is from RefSeq and is a predicted model, not a curated record. NCBI's taxonomy places the organism in Eukaryota, Viridiplantae, Streptophyta, Magnoliopsida, Asterales, Asteraceae.
AAAUUUAAAGUUCUCCUACUCCAAAAUAAUUGAACCCCACGGACGUCCCCACCUCACAUAUAUAACCUCUUUCCCAAAAUUUUCAACCCUAGUCAAACUAAAAUAUAAUGCAUCUUAAUUCACUUUCCCCGAGUCAAAACACAAAAACUCUUCUUUCUUUAUUAAAUAGCCGCCGGCUGAAGGAAAAAGACCACCAGCCCAUGCUUCAAGACGCCGUCACGGCCACCGGAAACCCAAUCAUCUUUCUUUUAAUGUUUUUAUAUUUUGGAUGUGGAUGGCCAAACCCUGGAUGAUUUUACAGAUUUGUUUUUGUCGUCGGAAAACGGGGAAAAACCCGCAUAUGUCGUCGGGAAACAGACAAGCACCUCUGAUCUGGAAGAACUUCUCCAUCUUUGGCCACAAAUCGUCUCCGGCCACCUAAAAAAAACCCACCAACCACUUUUUUUCAAGCCGCCGAAAUCAUCUAUGGCCGCCAGAAAAUACCAUCCACCAUAUGUAUUGUUUAAUGAUUUAUUUGUUUGAUUUAUAAAUAUGUAUUUAUAUAUAUCAUUUAUAUUAUAGAAUUCUUGUUGGUUGAUAAAAUUUCAGAUUUUAUUUUAUGAAUACAGAUUUUUUAAUAUAUAAUUCUUGAUAUUUGUUGUUAGUU